This 82-nucleotide transfer RNA is filed under the name Thermoleophilia bacterium. RNAcentral's name for it is "tRNA-Leu". It matches the Rfam family "tRNA". From Rfam's summary of the family: Transfer RNA (tRNA) molecules are approximately 80 nucleotides in length. The record is from RNAcentral. Lineage: Bacteria; Bacillati; Actinomycetota; Thermoleophilia.
GCCUGGGUGGCGGAACUGGUAGACGCCGGCGACUUAAAAUCGCCUGCCUUCGGGCGUGCGGGUUCGAUUCCCGCCCCAGGCA